GACGAACGCUGGCGGCGUGCUUAACACAUGCAAGUCGAACGGAAAGGCCCUGCUUUUGUGGGGUGCUCGAGUGGCGAACGGGUGAGUAACACGUGAGUAACCUGCCCUUUACUUUGGGAUAACUUCAGGAAACUGGGGCUAAUACCGGAUAGGAGCUCCUGCUGCAUGGUGGGGGUUGGAAAGUUUCGGCGGUUGGGGAUGGACUCGCGGCUUAUCAGCUUGUUGGUGGGGUAGUGGCUUACCAAGGCUUUGACGGGUAGCCGGCCUGAGAGGGUGACCAGCCACAUUGGGACUGAGAUACGGCCCAGACUCCUACGGGAGGCAGCAGUGGGGAAUAUUGCACAAUGGGCGGAAGCCUGAUGCAGCAACGCCGCGUGCGGGAUGACGGCCUUCGGGUUGUAAACCGCUUUCGCCUGUGACGAAGCGUGAGUGACGGUAAUGGGUAAAGAAGCACCGGCUAACUACGUG
This 468-nucleotide ribosomal RNA is filed under the name uncultured bacterium. RNAcentral's name for it is "partial 16S ribosomal RNA". It matches the Rfam family "Bacterial small subunit ribosomal RNA", at positions 28 to 507 of the family's 1533-position model. The record is from RNAcentral.